This 468-nucleotide ribosomal RNA is filed under the name uncultured bacterium. RNAcentral describes it as "partial 16S ribosomal RNA". It matches the Rfam family "Bacterial small subunit ribosomal RNA", at positions 28 to 507 of the family's 1533-position model. The record is from RNAcentral.
GACGAACGCUGGCGGCGUGCUUAACACAUGCAAGUCGAACGGAAAGGCCCCGUUUUUGUGGGGUGCUGGAGCGGAGAAGGGGUGAGUAACACGUUAGCAUACCCUUCUUGAUUUUAGGAUAUCUUCAGGAAACUGCGGAUACCACAGGAUAGGUGCUUCUGCAGGAUGGUGGGGGUAGGAAAGCUUCGGCGGUUGGGGAUGGACUCGCGGCUUAUCAGCUUGUUGGUGGGGUAGUGGCUUACCAAGGCUUUGACGGGUAGCCGGCCUGAGAGGGUGACCGGCCACAUUGGGACUGAGAUACGGCCCAGACUCCUACGGGAGGCAGCAGUGGGGAAUAUUGCACAAUGGGCGGAAGCCUGAUGCAGCAACGCCGCGUGCGGGAUGACGGCCUUCGGGUUGUAAACCGCUUUCGCCUGUGACGAAGCGUGAGUGACGGUAAUGGGUAAAGAAGCACCGGCUAACUACGUG